AACUUUGUGCAGUGGCAUUAUCAUAGCCACCCUAUUAGAUCCAACCGAGGCGUGAUUAUUGCUAGUUGAAAACUUUACCCAAUACCCCGCCAUGAUGACUUGCAAUAUAGUCAGCAUUGGCAAUUUUUGUUAGUCUCCCAGGAGA
Molecule: small nuclear RNA, 145 nt
Organism: Pseudophryne corroboree (corroboree frog)
Lineage: Eukaryota; Metazoa; Chordata; Amphibia; Anura; Myobatrachidae
Product: U4 spliceosomal RNA
Exons: 1
Source: RefSeq, a predicted model, not a curated record